GAGUAAAAUUGCCGGUCUAAAUGCCACUUUGGACGGUCUUGUUUUCGGCACAAAGCAUAAAUAUAUGUGAAAUCACUAAAAAGUUAAAAAGAAUAUAAUUUUGGACCCAUAAUUUCAAAAGUAUAAUGAGUUCACAGUAAGAAACUAAAGUUAAACACGUGAUUUUAGAACCACCUCUUUACAAUAGUGCACCCAUCCUCUUGAAAUCCUGGAUCCGCCUAUGAGGUUGCGUAUAAUAGACAAUUAUGGUUAGGUCAUUCACCGGACUCCGCGCAUAGUGAGAGCUUAGUGUAUUAGGCUGCCCUUUACUAGAAUUAAUAAAUUAAAAAAUAAGACAGGUUACGCUAUUAUAGCAGUUUUGAAGUACCAAGUUCAUCUGAACCUAAUAUUUUUUUUAUGCGAAAGCAUAAUUUAUGGGUAAAAAUAAUUAAAAUUCUAAUAAAUAAUAGAUAUGAACCCAUAGUUUUAAAAAUACAACGAAUUUAAUGCUAAGGCUAUUUAAUGCUAAAAACCUUAAAAGUUAAACCUAUAAAGUUAAAAUCCUAAAUUUGCUUUUUAAUAGAUAUACAUACAUUGAUGUAUAAUACUUUUGUACAUUCUCUCUUUUUUUUGGUAAUUAAAAGGUUGUAUUAAUCACCAAAGAUAUUUCAGUACAAAACCGUAGCGUAGCUAUUACACAGCUGACUAUCCUAUCUAACUUCUAUAUGAACUAUCACUAUACCUAUCCCUCUAUUUACAGAAGAAAUUGCUGAAGCUGUAUUUUCAUCUUAGGGUUACCUCUCUAUAUGAACUAUCACUAUACCUAUACCUCUAUUUACAGAAGGA
Molecule: long non-coding RNA, 825 nt
Filed under: Nicotiana benthamiana
Lineage: Eukaryota; Viridiplantae; Streptophyta; Magnoliopsida; Solanales; Solanaceae
Description: long non-coding RNA (NBEN_LNC027177)
Source: RNAcentral